AUACUCGCUUCGGCAAGCACAUACACUAAAAUUGGAACGACAUAGAAAAGAUUGGUUAGCAUGGCCCCUACGCAAAGAUGACUUGCAAAUUCGCUAAGUGUUCCAUAUUAAA
This is a small nuclear RNA of Prolemur simus (greater bamboo lemur), 112 nucleotides long. The record is from Ensembl. NCBI's taxonomy places the organism in Eukaryota, Metazoa, Chordata, Mammalia, Primates, Lemuridae.